Non-coding RNA from Paramormyrops kingsleyae, 506 nucleotides. The record is from RefSeq and is a predicted model, not a curated record. Lineage: Eukaryota; Metazoa; Chordata; Actinopteri; Osteoglossiformes; Mormyridae.
AUAUGUGUGUGUGUGUGUGUGUAUGUGUGUAUACAUGUGUAUGUAUGUAUAUAAAUAUAUAUAGACACACACACACACACACACUACCCAAAAGUAUGUAAUAAAUUUUGUAUGACGAAACAUCUGUUGUUGCCUCCAGGUUUCCAAACUGUCAAUGGCUGGGGGGCAAACACUAAAGAAAACAGUUUGGAGGAUCUGUGGAAAGGUGUUUGCUCCCCAGUUGGCAGUUCAUUUAAACUGGUGUGGCAGAGGGGACAAAACACCAAUGAGGAAUACAAACAUCAUAGAUGUGAUUAUCCAGUCUGCAUUACAAAACCCACUGGUGUCUAGUCCAAAUGAGGCUGAAGCUGAAAAAACCAUCAAAGAGUGGCUCAGACUGUCUCGUGACAGGCUGACCAGGCGUGUCCGAUAGUCCUUUUCUUUCAGUAUUUUUAUUUUUAUGUAUUUUUUUUUUCCCCAACGUGUGCAUUUUAUAUUUUGUUUAUUUAAUAAAAACUCUUAAUGAA